ACCGUGUUAGCCAGGAUGGUCUCAAACUCCUGAUCUUGUGAUCUGCCCGCCUCAGCCUCCCAAAGUGCCGGGAUUACAGGUGUGAGCCACCGCGCGUGGCUGGUUCAUGCAAUUCUUGUGCCUAGCCUCCCAAGUAGCAGAGAUAACAGGUGUGUACAACCACCCCCAGCUAAUUUUUGUAUUUUUAGUACAGAUGGGGUUUUACCAUGUUGGCCAGCUUGGUCUCAAAGUCUUGACCUCAGGUGAUUUACCCACCUCCGCCUCCCAAAGUGCUGGGAUUAUAGGCGUGAGCCACCACAUCCAGCCCUGAAUUUUCAUUUCUCUUUCCUCUCAGUGAAAAUUGCUACCAAGGCCAAUCCAUGGAUUGGGAACUCCCUGAAGCCUGACAGUGUCCGAUCCCAGCUGGAGACGUCACUAAAGCGGCUGCAGUGUCCCCGAGUGGACCUCUUCUAUCUACAUGCACCUGACCACAGCACCCCGGUGGAAGAGACACUGCGUGCCUGCCACCAGCUGCACCAGGAGGGCAAGUUCGUGGAGCUUGGCCU
Molecule: small RNA, 545 nt
Filed under: Pan troglodytes (chimpanzee)
Lineage: Eukaryota; Metazoa; Chordata; Mammalia; Primates; Hominidae
Description: retained intron
Source: RNAcentral